Molecule: ribosomal RNA, 1400 nt
Filed under: Kocuria rosea
Lineage: Bacteria; Bacillati; Actinomycetota; Actinomycetes; Micrococcales; Micrococcaceae
Description: bacterial SSU rRNA
Rfam family: Bacterial small subunit ribosomal RNA
Source: RNAcentral
CUCAGGACGAACGCUGGCGGCGUGCUUAACACAUGCAAGUCGAACGAUGAUGCCCAGCUUGCUGGGCGGAUUAGUGGCGAACGGGUGAGUAAUACGUGAGUAACCUGCCCUUGACUCUGGGAUAAGCCUGGGAAACUGGGUCUAAUACUGGAUACUACCUCUUGCCGCAUGGUGGGUGGUGGAAAGGGUUUUACUGGUUUUGGAUGGGCUCACGGCCUAUCAGCUUGUUGGUGGGGUAAUGGCUCACCAAGGCGACGACGGGUAGCCGGCCUGAGAGGGUGACCGGCCACACUGGGACUGAGACACGGCCCAGACUCCUACGGGAGGCAGCAGUGGGGAAUAUUGCACAAUGGGCGGAAGCCUGAUGUAGCGACGCCGCGUGAGGGAUGACGGCCUUCGGGUUGUAAACCUCUUUCAGUAGGGAAGAAGCGAGAGUGACGGUACCUGCAGAAGAAGCGCCGGCUAACUACGUGCCAGCAGCCGCGGUAAUACGUAGGGCGCAAGCGUUGUCCGGAAUUAUUGGGCGUAAAGAGCUCGUAGGCGGUUUGUCGCGUCUGCUGUGAAAGCCCGGGGCUCAACCCCGGGUCUGCAGUGGGUACGGGCAGACUAGAGUGCAGUAGGGGAGACUGGAAUUCCUGGUGUAGCGGUGAAAUGCGCAGAUAUCAGGAGGAACACCGAUGGCGAAGGCAGGUCUCUGGGCUGUUACUGACGCUGAGGAGCGAAAGCAUGGGGAGCGAACAGGAUUAGAUACCCUGGUAGUCCAUGCCGUAAACGUUGGGCACUAGGUGUGGGGGACAUUCCACGUUUUCCGCGCCGUAGCUAACGCAUUAAGUGCCCCGCCUGGGGAGUACGGCCGCAAGGCUAAAACUCAAAGGAAUUGACGGGGGCCCGCACAAGCGGCGGAGCAUGCGGAUUAAUUCGAUGCAACGCGAAGAACCUUACCAAGGCUUGACAUUCACCGGACCGCCCCAGAGAUGGGGUUUCCCUUCGGGGCUGGUGGACAGGUGGUGCAUGGUUGUCGUCAGCUCGUGUCGUGAGAUGUUGGGUUAAGUCCCGCAACGAGCGCAACCCUCGUUCUAUGUUGCCAGCACGUGAUGGUGGGGACUCAUAGGAGACUGCCGGGGUCAACUCGGAGGAAGGUGGGGAUGACGUCAAAUCAUCAUGCCCCUUAUGUCUUGGGCUUCACGCAUGCUACAAUGGCCGGUACAAAGGGUUGCGAUACUGUGAGGUGGAGCUAAUCCCAAAAAGCCGGUCUCAGUUCGGAUUGAGGUCUGCAACUCGACCUCAUGAAGUCGGAGUCGCUAGUAAUCGCAGAUCAGCAACGCUGCGGUGAAUACGUUCCCGGGCCUUGUACACACCGCCCGUCAAGUCACGAAAGUUGGUAACACCCGAAGCCGGUG